GAGCUUUUGACUUCUUAGUAGGAAGACUGAGAAACUGAAGACUGACCAGUGGUUGGACUCUUGGCGGCGCUUACCCUGAACCUGAGUUUUAGGGGAGAGGGAAUCUGCCGGUGCGGUUUCUGGAGCUGCUCAUAAGCAAGAAUUCCCUAUCCUGAUCAAGGCUUUAAGCCUAAAAGAAAGCAGAAAUAGGUCAAGGGCAGCCCAGGUGCCCAAUUUCUCUCUCUCUUCACA
Long non-coding RNA from Sciurus vulgaris (Eurasian red squirrel), 231 nucleotides. NCBI's taxonomy places the organism in Eukaryota, Metazoa, Chordata, Mammalia, Rodentia, Sciuridae. The record is from Ensembl.